UUCAAAGCAUUGAUGGUGAAGCCGAAGUUCUUAUGAGUUUUUGGUUUUAAAUCGUUUAACAAGGAAGCACUACUUUACUUUUCGGGAUCUAGUUGAGGUA
This 100-nucleotide small RNA is filed under the name Arabidopsis thaliana (thale cress). RNAcentral describes it as "ATSL037820". Lineage: Eukaryota; Viridiplantae; Streptophyta; Magnoliopsida; Brassicales; Brassicaceae. The record is from RNAcentral.